This 440-nucleotide ribosomal RNA is filed under the name uncultured bacterium. Its description in RNAcentral is "partial 16S ribosomal RNA". It matches the Rfam family "Bacterial small subunit ribosomal RNA", at positions 338 to 795 of the family's 1533-position model. The record is from RNAcentral.
CCUACGGGUGGCAGCAGUGGGGAAUAUUGCACAAUGGGGGAAACCCUGAUGCAGCAACGCCGCGUGAGUGAAGAAGUAUUUCGGUAUGUAAAGCUCUAUCAGCAGGGAAGAGAAUGACGGUACCUGACUAAGAAGCCCCGGCUAACUACGUGCCAGCAGCCGCGGCAGUAAGUAGGGGGCAAGCGUUAUCCGGAUUUAGUGGGUGUAAAGGGGGCGUAGGCGGCUGGACAAGUUAGAGGUGAAAGCACGAGGAUCAACCGCGGAACGGAGUCGGAAACUGUAAAGCGGGAGAGUAGGAGUGGUAGGCGGAAUGGAGGGGGUAGAGGUGAAAUGUGUAGAGAUCAUACAGAAAACCGAGGGCGAAGGCAGCGGAACAAGCUAUUUAGGACGGUGAGGCACGAAAGCGUGGGGAGCAAACAGGAUGAGAUACCCUAGGAGGG